RNAcentral lists this ribosomal RNA (423 nucleotides) under uncultured bacterium. RNAcentral's name for it is "bacterial SSU rRNA". It matches the Rfam family "Bacterial small subunit ribosomal RNA", at positions 355 to 788 of the family's 1533-position model. The record is from RNAcentral.
UCGAGAAUCUUCGGCAAUGGGCGCAAGCCUGACCGAGCGACGCCGCGUGGAGGACGAAGGCCUCGGGUUGUAAACUCCUGUCGAGGGGGAAGAAGCGCCGCAAGGCGUUGACUGAUCCCUGGAGGAAGCACGGGCUAAGUUCGUGCCAGCAGCCGCGGUAAGACGAACCGUGCGAACGUUAUUCGGAAUCACUGGGCUUAAAGCGCGUGUAGGCGGGACGGCACGUCCGGCGCUGAAAUCCCCGGCUACCGGGAAGUGCGCGGAUACUGACGAUCUCGAGGGGGUGCAGGGGCAUGUGGAACUUCCGGUGGAGCGGUGAAAUGCGUAGAUAUCGGAAGGAACGCCGGUGGCGAAAGCGACGUGCUGGACACCUACUGACGCUGAGGCGCGAAAGCCAGGGGAGCAAACGGGAUUAGAUACCCC